CCUACGGGGGACAGCAGUGGGGGAUAUUGCACAAUGGGGGGAACCCUGAUGCAGCGACGCCGCGUGGGUGAAGGAGCGUUUCGGCGCGUAAAGCCCUAUCGGCAGGGAAGAAGAUGACGGUACCUGGCCAAGAAGCCCCGGCUAACUACGUGCCAGCAGCCGGGGUAAUACGUAGGGGGCAAGCGUUAUCCGGAUUUACUGGGUGUAAAGGGGGCGCAGACGGCAAUGCAAGACAGGAGUGAAAGCCCGGGGCCCAACCCCGGGACUGCUCUUGGAACUGCAUGGCUGGAGUACAGGAGGGGCAGGCGGAAUUCCUAGUGUAGCGGUGAAAUGCGUAGAUAUUAGGAGGAACACCGGUGGCGAAGGCAGCCUGCUGGACUGCGACUGACGUUGAGGCCCGAAGGCGUGGGGAGCAAACAGGAUUAGAUACCCCUGUAGUC
Molecule: ribosomal RNA, 440 nt
Filed under: uncultured bacterium
Lineage: Bacteria
Description: partial 16S ribosomal RNA
Rfam family: Bacterial small subunit ribosomal RNA
Source: RNAcentral